GAGUUUGAUCGUGGCUCAGAAUCAACGCUGGCGGCGUGCCUAACACAUGCAAGUCGAGCGGCAGCGCGGGGCAACCUGGCGGCGAGCGGCGAACGGGUGAGUAAUGCAUCGGAACAUGUCCAUGUCGUGGGGGAUAGCCCGGCGAAAGCCGGAUUAAUACCGCAUACGCCCGAGAGGGGAAAGUGGGGACCGCAAGGCCUCACGCGAUUGGGUUGGCCGAUGUCCGAUUAGCUAGUUGGUGGGGUAAAGGCCUACCAAGGCGAUGAUCGGUAGCUGGUCUGAGAGGAUGAUCAGCCACACUGGGACUGAGACACGGCCCAGACUCCUACGGGAGGCAGCAGUGGGGAAUUUUGGACAAUGGGGGAAACCCUGAUCCAGCCAUUCCGCGUGAGUGAAGAAGGCCUUCGGUUG
This 411-nucleotide ribosomal RNA is filed under the name uncultured beta proteobacterium. RNAcentral's name for it is "bacterial SSU rRNA". It matches the Rfam family "Bacterial small subunit ribosomal RNA", at positions 9 to 425 of the family's 1533-position model. The record is from RNAcentral. Lineage: Bacteria; Pseudomonadati; Pseudomonadota; Betaproteobacteria.